AUUGAACGCUGGCGGCAUGCCUUACACAUGCAAGUCGAACGGUAACAGGGAGCUUGCUCCGCUGACGAGUGGCGAACGGGUGAGUAAUGUAUCGGAACGUACCAUUCAGUGGGGGAUAACGUAGCGAAAGUUACGCUAAUACCGCAUAUUCUGUGAGCAGGAAAGCAGGGGAUCGCAAGACCUUGCGCUGAUUGAGCGGCCGAUAUCAGAUUAGCUAGUUGGUGAGGUAAAGGCUCACCAAGGCGACGAUCUGUAGCGGGUCUGAGAGGAUGAUCCGCCACACUGGAACUGAGACACGGUCCAGACUCCUACGGGAGGCAGCAGUGGGGAAUUUUGGACAAUGGGGGCAACCCUGAUCCAGCCAUGCCGCGUGAGUGAAGAAGGCCUUCGGGUUGUAAAGCUCUUUCGGCCGGGAAGAAAUCGCAUGGGUUAAUACCCUGUGCGGAUGACGGUACCGGCAUAAGAAGCACCGGCUAACUACGUG
RNAcentral lists this ribosomal RNA (484 nucleotides) under uncultured bacterium. RNAcentral's name for it is "bacterial SSU rRNA". It matches the Rfam family "Bacterial small subunit ribosomal RNA", at positions 30 to 507 of the family's 1533-position model. The record is from RNAcentral.